This 497-nucleotide ribosomal RNA is filed under the name uncultured bacterium. RNAcentral's name for it is "partial 16S ribosomal RNA". It matches the Rfam family "Bacterial small subunit ribosomal RNA", at positions 28 to 507 of the family's 1533-position model. The record is from RNAcentral.
GAUGAACGCUGGCGGCGUGCCUAAUACAUGCAAGUCGAGCGAACAGACGAGGAGUUUGCUCCUCUGACGUUAGCGGCGGACGGGUGAGUAACACGUGGAUAACCUACCUAUAAGACAGGGAUAACUUCGGGAAACCGGAGCUAAUACCGGAUAAUAUAUUGAACCGCAUGGUUCAAUAGUGAAAGACGGUUUUGCUGUCACUUAUAGAUGGAUCCGCGCCGCAUUAGCUAGUUGGUAAGGUAACGGCUUACCAAGGCAACGAUGCGUAGCCGACCUGAGAGGGUGAUCGGCCACACUGGAACUGAGACACGGUCCAGACUCCUACGGGAGGCAGCAGUAGGGAAUCUUCCGCAAUGGGCGAAAGCCUGACGGAGCAACGCCGCGUGAGUGAUGAAGGUCUUCGGAUCGUAAAACUCUGUUAUUAGGGAAGAACAAAUGUGUAAGUAACUAUGCACGUCUUGACGGUACCUAAUCAGAAGGCCACGGCUAACUACGUG